Molecule: ribosomal RNA, 254 nt
Filed under: uncultured bacterium
Lineage: Bacteria
Description: partial 16S ribosomal RNA
Rfam family: Bacterial small subunit ribosomal RNA
Source: RNAcentral
UACGGAGGGUGCAAACGUUGCUCGGAAUCAUUGGGCGUAAAGCGCACGUAGGCGGCCUGUUAAGUCGGAAGUGAAAUCUCCAGGGCUCAACCCGGAAACUGCUUUACAUACUGGCAGACUGGAGUGAUGAAGAGGUUUGUGGAAUUCCUGGUGUAGCGGUGAAAUGCGUAGAUAUCUGGAGGAACACCGGUGGCGAAGGCGGCAUCCUGGACCGGCAUUGACGCUGAGGCGCGAAAGCCAGGGGAGCAAACGGG